UGUGACGGCAAGCUCCUUUCUGCUGGAAGCGUAGCGAGUUGUGGGAGAGGGAGCGAGGCGAUUGAUCUCCAUUGGAGGCGGUGAGGUUAGGGUUUAGGCGCUCUGCGGCUGCUCGCGCCUCGCGCCAACCGCAGCGGGGUGCGCCAAAGACGCGAGGCCGUGAUCCACUGAUCCCCUUCUCAUCCUCACUGGCCCUUUCCACUGGAGCAGAUUGGAAUGCUUCCUCUCCGGUCGGAGGAGGCACAGAGGUGAGCAAGGGACCACCGCCGUCGAUGAAGGCCGGGGAUCAUGGUCAUCCCUGAUCCGAUUCUUCAGGACAAGAAAAGAAAGAUAUGUCCAGAUCGGCGCUUAUAAUUCAGCGCUCCAUCCAGCAUCAUGGGACCAUAAUAAUAAUGGUUCACUUGUUAGGCUGUACUGUACUGUCGCCGAGCACCGAAAUGGACCCCUCUGAGGCGUUUUAUUCCGAAGUGAAUGAUCGCCACGGCUUAUCUACAGCAUGGGCGCCCUUGCAUUCAUUCUGCUUGGAAUACAUAUCAUUCAGCCGUAUGUGCAGCCUUGCAAGCCACGCAACAGCGUGCACAAAGGCAAGCGUUUCAACGCUUGUUGGCGGCGCUGCUGUGGAAGUAGAGAGGUGGGAUGACCGCACUCCAACUCCAAUCCCAAAGGAGAUGAAAAUGGGAUGAACCAGCUCAUGCAUGCAUCAUGAUGUCGUUGCGACCCGGGCACCGUGUUAAUCCAGACCCACUAGCUCGCCCAGGUUCGUACAAUUUUACACGCUGCCGAAUCAAGAGCAAGACGCGCUGCUUCGCCUCCUUCGCCUUAUCAUUUGCGCUGUCUGUGACCCCAUCACUUUGGCAUCACCUUUUCUCUCGAUGGCCUUUUCCUUUACCAGUUUGUCGCCUUAGCCAUGCGAGAUGCCUUUCUGUCUAUGCCUUUGCUCGAUGCUUUAAUUUACGCAUGCAGGUAAACCCGUUACUCUUACUGAUACUAUUUUUUUUUCCAUUUCCCGUUUUUCAGCAAAUUUACCUUUGUAUUGCUUUUUUUUAAUUUCGCCCCUUAAUACGUAGCAUAUUUGGGCCAAAGUUGGAGGAACAAUUGAUUAUUCGAGCAACUAUUUGUAGCAAUUAAUUGAA
Long non-coding RNA from Setaria italica (foxtail millet), 1133 nucleotides. RefSeq lists it as uncharacterized. NCBI's taxonomy places the organism in Eukaryota, Viridiplantae, Streptophyta, Magnoliopsida, Poales, Poaceae. The record is from RefSeq and is a predicted model, not a curated record. The transcript has 3 exons.